AGUUACACAAGAAGAAUUGGCCCUUGACCAGCCUGAUUGGUUGCAGGAGGGGACCAAUCAGAGGUACCUCCCAUUUUUCAUCUGCAGCCCAAUGCAAAGUAAUGACAUGGAUCUGGAGAGAUUCUCUUAGGAGAGAAUCUGGCUAAGUGUCUAGCAGGAUGAUUGAUUAACAAGAUGUUUUGUUUUCAUCAUCUCAGAGAUAACUGUAUUGAGGUAUAAUUGAUAUGCCAAAUAACUGGACACAUUCAACUUGUGCAAUUUGAUGAGUUUGGAGAUACACAUACAUCUGUGAAACCAUCACCAAAAUCAAGGAUCGUUGUCAUUGGAUUUAAGAGGGCCUACCCUGAUAAUACAGGAUAAACUCCUUCUCCCAAAACCUUUUCUUCUCUCAGAAUCUUUUGGCAGCAAACACAUUCAAGCAUCUUCUAUGUGCCAAGAACUUGCUGGAAAACAUCACAAAAGUUAAUAUUUUCUGGAGAUCAAGGAAUGAAACUCAGCCCUCUGCAAAUGGAACACAAACGCCUGGUACAUGGAUGCUACAAUGAAAAGAAUAUGGGUGCUGAAAUCAGAGAGAAUCAUCCAAGAUGAUCCUUAUGCAUGCUGAACUCUGAGAGCCACCAGUGAAGAAGAUAAGUGACCCAUCUACCUGUAGCUGGAAAAUAAAGGCUCUUUGGGAUUCUUUCCCAUGAGUCUUCAUUUCACCAUAUUGGUGAGAGAAGGCAUUCAGGCCCAAUAAUUAACUGAACAUUAGCUGUGUACCAGACACUGUGGUCGACAUUGAGAUAUAACGGAUUUAAGAAAGUCUUUGUGGCUGUGGUGGCUUCAAAUCACUCCCGAGGCUUUAGAAGAAUAUAAUUGCCGUUCUAAGAAGAAUCUGAGGCCUCUAGGAGAUCUGCCAGUAGUGGCCCCAAUGUAUAACAGCACUAGCUCAGUGAAGAGAGAGAGAAAAGAUCUGAAGAGAGUGGUUGCAGUUUGAGCUCUGUCAAUGGGACAGUCCUGGGCAGGAGACUGGGGAGAAGAGGCGGCUUGCUGGUUUUCCUGAACCACUUCCACCCUGAAAGACUCCUUGCAUACAAUCAUCAGAGAAGAACCGUGGGAACCAAGAACCAUGAGCAGGAGAACCAUGAGCACACUGUUCGCAAUGGCCAAGAUUUGGAGGCAACCUAAGUGUCCAUCGACAGACAAAUGGUUAAAGAAAAUGAGGGAGGAGGAAAAAACCAUGGCUGCGGAGGUGAUUUAAUAUCCUGUUGACUCUGAAGAAAAAUACACUUCUUCAUUAUAAGAGUUUUAUUGCCAAUGACUAGAAGGAAAUGUAAAGGGGACAACACAAGAUGACUAACACAGGAAGUUAUAAAACUCACAGCUCUAACUGUCAUGGCCCUGGGCCCAUGGUGCCUGAAUCCCUCUGGGAGUAUUAAAUGGAAGGCCCCCUGGUA
This 1436-nucleotide long non-coding RNA is filed under the name Homo sapiens (human). Its description in RNAcentral is "long independently transcribed non-coding RNA 2756 (LINC02756)". The record is from RNAcentral. Lineage: Eukaryota; Metazoa; Chordata; Mammalia; Primates; Hominidae.